CACAGUUUCUAGAUCUUGAUAAAACGACCACUCUCCACUUUCACCACUUUUCCUUUCUUGAGUUUUAUUGCUGAGUUGACAAUUUACUGCAUAUUUAUUUGAUUUAGGUAUGUAGUUGUAACCCACACAUGUUGAUUUCUGAAGACAUUUCAAGGAACAUUCAAGUUGAGAAUGAACAGCAUGACUGGAUAUAAUAUCUUCUGGUGCCAGUGGAUCGCCUGUUUAAAAAAAAUAACGUAGAUAUUGGUGUACAAUUGCAAUACAAGUGUACUUAGAG
Paramuricea clavata is the source of this 277-nucleotide non-coding RNA. NCBI's taxonomy places the organism in Eukaryota, Metazoa, Cnidaria, Anthozoa, Malacalcyonacea, Plexauridae. The record is from the annotation of a GenBank genome assembly.